CACACCCCAUUUCCCUUCCUUUCCAUUCCCUUGCUCUCCCUUCCCACUACACCCACCAUUUCCCUUCCCACCCAUUCCCUUCCUCCCUCUUUCCACUACACCCUGCAUUUCCCUUCCCUUCCAUUCCCUUCCAUUCCCUUCCAUUCCCUUGCUCUCCCUUCCCUCUACUACCCGCAUUUCCUUUCCCUUCCAUUCCCAUAUUCUCCCUUCCCACUACACUCCCCUUUUACCUUCACUCCCAUUCCCUUCCUCUCCCUUGCUCUCUCUCUCCACUACACCCGCCAUUUCCCUUGCCUUCCAUUCCCUUCCACUCCCUUCCAUUCACUUGGUCUCCCUUCCCACUACAACCCGCAUUUCCUUUCCCUUCCAUUCCCUUAUUCCCUUCCCAGUACACUCCCCUUUUCCCUUCCCUUCCAUUCCCUUACCUUACCUUCAGUUCCCUUGCUCUCCCACCCCACUGCACCACCCUUUUUCCUUCCCUCCCAUUCCUUUCUAUUUUCUUGCUCUCCCAUCCCACUUCAACCCCAUUUCCCUACCCUUCCAUUCCCUUCUAUUCCCUUGCUCUCCCUUCCCACUGCAGCAACAUUUCCCUUCCAUUCCAUUCCCUUGCUCUCCCUUCCCACUACAGCCCCCAUUUACCUUCCCUACCAUUCCCUUGGUCUCCGUUGCAUCCUCCUCGCACUCCACCCCCCAUUUUUCUUCCCUUCCAUUCCCUUUAUCUCCCUUCCCACUACACCUCCCAUUUCCCUUCCCUUCCAUUCCCUUGCUCUCCCUUCCCACUAUACCCCAGAUUUCCCUUCCCUUCCCUUCACUUCCGUUCCCUUGCUCUCCCUUUCCACUACUACCACCAUUUCCCCUCCCUUCCAUUCCCUUCCAUAACCGUGCUCUCUCUUCCCAGUACACCUCCCUUUUCCCUUCCCUUCCAUUCCCGGGCAUUCCCUUCCAUUCACCUUCUACCCCUUCCCACUGCACCCCCCUUUUCCCUUCCCUUCCAUUCCCUUCCUCUCUUCCCACUACACUCCCCUUUUCCAUUCCAUUCCAUUCCCUUUACUUACCUUCAAUUGCCUCGCUCUCCCUCCCCAGUACACCCCUUAUUUCCCUUCCCUUCCAUUCCCUUCAAAUUCCUUGCUCUCUCAUCCCACUACACCCCCAAUUUCCCUUCCCGUCCAUUCCCUUCCAUUCCCUUCCAUUCACUUGCUCUCCGUUCCCACUUCUCCCCGCAUUUCCCUUCCCUUCCAUUCCCUUAUUCUCCCUUCACACUACACUCCCCUUUUACCUUCCCUUCCAUUCUCUUCCUUUACCUUGUAUUCCCUUGCUCUCCCUCCCCAAUACACCCCCCUUUUCCUUUGCCUCCCAUUCCCUUCCAUUCCCUUUCUCUCCCUUCGCUCUAUACACCCCAUUUCCCUUCCCUUCUAUUCCCUAUCUCUCCCUUCCCACAACAAAACCCCCCGUUUGACUUCCCUUCCAUUCCCUUCCCUUCCAUUCCAUUCCCUUCCAUUCCAUUUCUCUACCUUCCCACAGCAACCCCAUUUCCCUUCCCUUCCAUUCCCUUCCACUCCCUACCCACUACUCCCCCCAUUUCCCUUACCUUCCAUUCCCUUCAAUUCCCUUGCUCUCCCUUCCCACUACAACCCCCGUUUCCCUUCCCUUCUAUUCCCUUCCAUUCUCUUGCUCUCCCUUCCCACUACACCCCCAUUUCCCUUCCCUUCCAUUUCCUGGCAUUCCCUUUCAUUCACUUGCUCUCCCUUCCCCCUACAACCCAUUUCCCUUCCCUUUAUUCCCUUGCUCUCCCUUCCCACUAUACUCCCCUUUUCCAUUCCCUUCCAUUCCCUUCCAUUCCCUUGCUCUCCCUUCCCAAUGCAACCUCAUUUCCCUUCCCUUCCAUUCCCUUCCGCUUCCUACCCACUAGUCACCCCAUUUCCCUUCCCUUCCAUUCCCUUCCGCUUCCUACCCACUAGUCACCCCAUUUCCCUUCCCUUCCAUUCCCUUGCUCUCCCUCCCAAAUACACCCCCCAUUUCCCUUCCCUUCCAUUCCCUAUCUCUCUCUUGCCGCUACACCUGCCAUUUCCCUUCCCUUACA
This is a long non-coding RNA of Numida meleagris (helmeted guineafowl), 2080 nucleotides long. The record is from Ensembl. Lineage: Eukaryota; Metazoa; Chordata; Aves; Galliformes; Numididae.